This 274-nucleotide ribosomal RNA is filed under the name uncultured bacterium. Its description in RNAcentral is "partial 16S ribosomal RNA". It matches the Rfam family "Archaeal small subunit ribosomal RNA", at positions 473 to 747 of the family's 1478-position model. The record is from RNAcentral.
AAACCAGCACCUCAAGUGGUCAGGAUGAUUAUUGGGCCUAAAGCAUCCGUAGCCGGCUCUGUAAGUUUUCGGUUAAAUCUGUACGCUUAACGUACAGGCUGCCGGGAAUACUGCAGAGCUAGGGAGUGGGAGAGGUAGACGGUACUCGGGAGGAAGUGGUAAAAUGCUUUGAUCUCUCGAUGACCACCUGUGGCGAAGGCGGUCUACCAGAACACGUCCGACGGUGAGGGAUGAAAGCUGGGGGAGCAAACCGGAUUAGAAACCCUAGUAGUCC